Cyprinus carpio (common carp) is the source of this 1103-nucleotide long non-coding RNA. NCBI's taxonomy places the organism in Eukaryota, Metazoa, Chordata, Actinopteri, Cypriniformes, Cyprinidae. The record is from Ensembl.
UGACUUCUGAGAAUUUUAUACCUCUAAUUUGAUUACAGUUAAGGAGACGAUAUGCCUCUGUCUCAGUCUCACCAGUGUCUCUCUCUUUCUCAGGUUACGCUUCCUGACAGACAUGGAGAGCAAACUGUUUGCACUAUGCUCAGAGAUCCAGGAUCUGAGAAAAACUUGUGAACAUACAAGCACCUCAGAGACAGCCAUCAUCGAGCUGCAGACGCAAUGGGAAAACGCACACAGAACAGUCACAGAGAGGUGAGGAGAAAUGCACAUGAUUAUAGGAAAGCACUUGGUGAAAUACCAUUUCACAUUUUUCGUGCUUCUGUUUCAGUCGUGAACAGUGUGUCUCUCUGAGCGAACUACUGAAGAAGUUCCAGAGCUGCCGAAAUCGCUUGGGCAGCACUUUGCAGAAAGCAGAGCAGACUAUUGGUGACCAGGCCUCCUAUAUUGGCAAAGACAACCUGCAGCUCCUGAUCAGUAAGGUACAGAAAUACUGAAAAAUCCUGUGUGCAGUGCUUCCAUUCUUGGUGGACUGCAGGUGGCAGUAUUAACCUCAUUGUUUUAGAUGAUUUUUAGUGUUAACUACAUGUAUACAACAUAUUCAUUAGAUAAAACUGGGGAUAGAAUGAGUAUAAAUAACUACAUGACUAUUAUUUAUAUUUUGUGUAUGUGUGCAGGUGACCAGUAUAAAGACAGAUCUCAGUGGUCUUGGGGACAGGGUGGAGGAGUUCAGAGCUGUGUGUCGACAGCUGCAGUCUCUGAUGAGAAGGAUCCCAGACUGUGCUGAAGCUCCAUUUGAGAGUGAGGCUGACACCCUCAUGGACCGCUGGCUUGAUGUCACCGAGAAAGCAGACUGUCAUCUGGACAACCUUCAAGCUGGCUUCUCUCUUUGGGAAAAACUCCAACUGCUGGCUGGAGAGGUGGAGGGCUGGAGCGCCCAAAAGCUGAUGACACUUGCUGAGUCACACCCCUUUCAGACAGAGCAGGAUGUGUCUGCCAUGCAGGUAAAACCUUGUUUUGGUAUAACUUUUGGAUAAUAAUAUUUUGGAUGUUAACUUGAAACUUGUCAUCAACUGAACAUUUAUGGAAAGAAGCAUGAUAUUGUUAGU